Molecule: signal recognition particle RNA, 180 nt
Filed under: Acholeplasmataceae bacterium
Lineage: Bacteria; Bacillati; Mycoplasmatota; Mollicutes; Acholeplasmatales; Acholeplasmataceae
Description: signal recognition particle sRNA large type
Rfam family: Bacterial small signal recognition particle RNA (bases 52-151)
About the family: The signal recognition particle (SRP) is a universally conserved ribonucleoprotein involved in the co-translational targeting of proteins to membranes. Archaeal SRP consists of a 7S RNA and homologues of the eukaryotic SRP19 and SRP54 proteins.
Source: RNAcentral
CCAUUUAAAAUUCGCCGCACUGCGGCUUUUUGUUUUUCUUUCGGACUGCGGUAGUUGGUCCUGCGCAAUGAGAGCCUGUGAACCUCGUCAGGGCCGGAAGGAAGCAGCGAUAAGCGGUCACUCUUAUGUGCCGCGGGGGUGCCUAUUAUCGCAGCCCGAUAGGAAAACAAAGAAAAAAGG